UACGGGAGGCAGCAGUGGGGAAUAUUGCACAAUGGGCGAAAGCCUGAUGCAGCUAUGCCGCGUGUAUGAAGAAGGCCUUAGGGUUGUAAAGUACUUUCAUCGGGGAGGAAAAAACAAAACUAAUAAUUUUAUUUCUUGACGUUACCCGAAAAAGAAGCACCGGCUAACUCCGUGCCAGCAGCCGCGGUAAUACGGAGGGUGCUAGCGUUAAUCAGAAUUACUGGGCGUAAAGAGCACGUAGGUGGUUUUUUUAAAGUCAGAUGUGAAAUCCCUGGGCUUAACCUGGAAACUGCAUUUUGAAACUGAAAUACUAGAGUAUCGUAGAGGGAGGUAGAAUUCUAGGUGUAGCGGUGAAAUGCGUAGAUAUCUGGAGGAAUACCUGUGGCGAAAGCGGCCUCCUAAACGAAUACUGACACUGAGGUGCGAAAGCGUGGGGAGCAAACAGGGAUUAGAUACCCGU
This 460-nucleotide ribosomal RNA is filed under the name uncultured bacterium. Its description in RNAcentral is "bacterial SSU rRNA". It matches the Rfam family "Bacterial small subunit ribosomal RNA", at positions 340 to 789 of the family's 1533-position model. The record is from RNAcentral.